UCCAGAGCUAUGGCAGGCCUGCGCCGGUCCUCUGGUGAACUUACCGGCAGCUGGGACCCACGUUGUUUAUUUUCCACAAGGCCACAGUGAACAGGUUGCGGCAUCUAUGAAGAAAGAUGUAGAUGCCCAAAUACCAAACUAUCCAAACCUUCCAUCAAAGUUAGUUUGUCUCCUUCACAAUAUUACCCUGCAUGCGGAUCCAGAAACAGAUGAAGUUUAUGCACAAAUGACAUUGCAACCAUUAAGCCAGCAAGAACAAAA
This 261-nucleotide unclassified non-coding RNA is filed under the name Hevea brasiliensis (rubber tree). The record is from RNAcentral. Lineage: Eukaryota; Viridiplantae; Streptophyta; Magnoliopsida; Malpighiales; Euphorbiaceae.